This is a long non-coding RNA of Etheostoma cragini (Arkansas darter), 100 nucleotides long. RefSeq lists it as uncharacterized. The transcript is spliced from 3 exons. The record is from RefSeq and is a predicted model, not a curated record. NCBI's taxonomy places the organism in Eukaryota, Metazoa, Chordata, Actinopteri, Perciformes, Percidae.
ACAAAACAAAAUUGCAAUUCCCAAUAUUCCUGGUCCUCACCUACAAGGCCCUCCACCAUCUGGCCCCCUCAUACGUACUGACCUCCUCUCCCCCUACCAA